Molecule: small RNA, 48 nt
Organism: Streptomyces nodosus
Lineage: Bacteria; Bacillati; Actinomycetota; Actinomycetes; Kitasatosporales; Streptomycetaceae
Rfam family: raiA-hairpin RNA
Source: Rfam
CACCGAGUCCGAGGCCCCGGUGGUCACCGGAGCCUGGUGCACAAGGGA